Long non-coding RNA from Xiphophorus maculatus (southern platyfish), 1297 nucleotides. RefSeq lists it as uncharacterized. NCBI's taxonomy places the organism in Eukaryota, Metazoa, Chordata, Actinopteri, Cyprinodontiformes, Poeciliidae. The transcript has 3 exons. The record is from RefSeq and is a predicted model, not a curated record.
ACUGCCUCCUAAUCCUAAUCAGGACAGUUACAGGAUGAUGGUGAACAGAGAGACAGGCUUCAACAAGGUCUUCAGUUCCAGUGCCAACAUUGGUGUCAUCAGUCAUCUUAUCAAGGGUUUUUUGUGUUUCUGCGUCUCUGCAGAAUCUAAUGCCUGAACAUCCGCGGCUGAAGCAGCUCCGUUUCCUCCUGAGUGCGACUUGCUUCUUAUUCACCAUUAACCUUUGACCUCUGAGGAAAGCGCUGGGUUAUUACACGAAGAGACUCUCAGGCCCUGCAGGCAAAUCUGAUUUUGUUCUCCUCUCUGCUUCUAAAGCAGGAAUUAAGCGAAGUCCGGCUCUCAGGGAACAGGUGCUAUGCAGAGAAACGCGGCCCGUCGCCGGAGCACACAUCGCUCGAAACUCAUAUUGAUGAGAAAACGGACUGAAAUAUGACCAAAGAGAAAACUUUGAAAAAAGAUAUUUGUAACAUUAUCAUGUUUCCUAACCAUGUGAGCCCUGAACCGGUGGGUUUUAUGUUGCAGAUGAAUUGAAAUAAAUACGGUUUUGACUCCUUUAAUGAGACACACGAGUCCAAAGUUUUACAGUCACUGUCUGAUGAACAUGUUCUCUGCUCACGUUUUGUAAUUCACCGCUUUUUCUUUUAACACCAUAAUAGCUUCAAACAUGAGAAAACAUUAUGUAGAACAUUUAAUACAUAAUAAUAUCAUAAUAAUACUGUCCAGUCUAUUAAUGUAGGGGGGAUGCAUUUUAAUUUCAGAGCCUGCUAAUAUCUGCAUCCUCUGUCUAUUGUCCUGUUGAUAUGAAACUUAUAUCCUGAGCCCAGAGUCUGUUUUCUCAUCAAUAUGUGAGUUUGGAGCGAUGCGCGCUCCCGCGACAGGCCAUGCGUUUCCCUGCAGAACAUCUUCAAUAAACUGUCUACUGACUCCAUCCUCACGACUUCUGCAGAAAUUUCUGCUCUACAAAAACCAACCAGAUGAAUAUAGAGGAAGUGGAGCUGUCCGUGGAGGCCGUCCCUGAAAGGCGAUGGGUUCCCUGCAGACGUUCCCCAGCUCCUCUGUGGCUGUGAGAAAAGCCCGGUGACCCAGGAGCCCAGAGAGACUCUGAGUCCAGGCCUCUGCUGCGUGGGACGGAGCCCGGUUUAGAUUUUAGAGCAAAGAGGAAUGAGGCCUGAUGGGAGCCUUUUGGAAGGUCACAUAGUUUCACAGCACAAAUCUGAGUUGUUCAUCAAGUUAUUCGUUUAUAAAUGUCACAGUUUCAAACCAAAUAUUUAGAUAAAAUGCUAAUUCACUUGCUUGA